Molecule: ribosomal RNA, 1499 nt
Filed under: uncultured prokaryote
Description: partial 16S ribosomal RNA
Rfam family: Bacterial small subunit ribosomal RNA
Source: RNAcentral
AGAGUUUGAUCCUGGCUCAGGAUGAACGCUGGCGGCGUGCCUAAUACAUGCAAGUCGAACGGGAAGUACUAAUUUCGAUUUUUACUUCUAGUGGCGAACGGGUGAGUAACGCGUUGGUGACCUGCCCCGAAGAGGGGGACAACAUUUCGAAAGGGGAGCUAAUACCCCAUGUGGUCGCAGUGAUUAGAAACGCUUCGACUAAAGGAGUAAUCCACUUCGGGAGGGACCUGCGUCCCAUCAGCUAGUUGGUAAGGUAACGGCCUACCAAGGCUAAGACGGGUAGGGGACCUGAGAGGGUGGUCCCCCACACUGGCACUGAAACACGGGCCAGACAUCUACGGAUGGCAGCAGUAGGGAAUAUUGCACAAUGGGCGAAAGCCUGAUGCAGCAACGCCGCGUGCGCGAAGAAGGCCUUCGGGUUGUAAAGCGCUUUUCUGGAGGAAGAGAAAGGACGGUACUCCAGGAAUAAGGAUCGGCUAACUACGUGCCAGCAGCCGCGGUAACACGUAGGAUCCGAGCGUUAUCCGAAUUUACUGGGCGUAAAGCGCGUGUAGGCGGUUGGGUAAGUUGGACGUGAAAGCUCCUGGCUCAACUAGGAGAGGUCGUUCAAAACUGCCUGGCUAGAGGGCGAUAGAGGGAGGUGGAAUUCCCGGUGUAGUGGUGAAAUGCGUAGAUAUCGGGAGGAACACCAGUGGCGAAGGCGGCCUCCUGGGUCGCACCUGACGCUCAGACGCGAAAGCUAGGGGAGCGAACGGGAUUAGAUACCCCGGUAGUCCUAGCUGUAAACGAUGUGAACUUGGCGUUGGUGGGGUCAAAUCCAUCAGUGCCGUAGCUAACGCGAUAAGUUCACCGCCUGGGGACUACGAUCGCAAGAUUAAAACUCAAAGGAAUUGGCGGGGGCCCGCACAAGCAGCGGAGCGUGUGGUUUAAUUCGAUGAUACACGAAGAACCUUACCCGGGUUUGACAUCCAGGUGGUAGGGAACCGAAAGGCGACCGACCCUUCGGGGAGCCUGGACAGGUGCUGCAUGGCUGUCGUCAGCUCGUGUCGUGAGAUGUCCGGUUAAGUCCGGUAACGAGCGCAACCCUUGCUGUAUGUUACAUGUGUCAUACAGGACUGCCGGUUUAGAACCGGAGGAAGGCGGGGAUGACGUCAAGUCAGCAUGGCCUUUAUAUCCGGGGCUACACACACGCUACAAUGGCCAGCACAACAGGUUGCAAAACCGCGAGGUGGAGCCAAUCCCCAAAGCUGGCCUCAGUUCAGAUUGCAGGCUGCAACUCGCCUGCAUGAAGCCGGAGUUGCUAGUAACCGCGCGUCAGCUAUAGUGCGGUGAAUACGUUCUCGGGCCUUGCACACACCGCCCGUCACGUCAUGGAAGCUGACAACACCUGAAGCCGGUAUCCCAACCGCAAGGAGGGAGCUGUCGAAGGUGGGGUUGGUGACUGGGACGAAGUCGUAACAAGGUAGGUGUACCGGAAGGUGCGCCUGGAUCACCUCCUU